This is a long non-coding RNA of Manihot esculenta (cassava), 1845 nucleotides long. RefSeq lists it as uncharacterized. The record is from RefSeq and is a predicted model, not a curated record. The transcript is spliced from 2 exons. Lineage: Eukaryota; Viridiplantae; Streptophyta; Magnoliopsida; Malpighiales; Euphorbiaceae.
CACUACCUAAUCGUCAAGCCUUGGAAGGGCACCAACUCAGCCACGUUCACCUAUUCUUAGCCAUCGAUCUUUCCGCUUUUUCGUUAAUCUUGUGCGUUCGUUCUACGCAGCCCCCCUAUAUAGUAAUAGGAUGAGCAUCCUUUUUCUUUUCAUCUCCUUCUCCUUAUUCUGUGCCAUCUUUCAAUCAGAUCUCCUCUUCAUGGAUUCUCUUCCAGUUAUAUUGUUUGUCCAAUCUUUUAGAUCUUUCUUUGAUCUACAAUCUGAUUCUAGUUUCAUGAGAAGUUCGAAUUGGAUCGUUCAAUAUAUGGUUUAACAUGCUGCAGUUGUUAUCACCCAAAACGGCUAUUCCUUUCCCUCCGUUUCCCUGGUGUUGUUUCUGCAGGUCUUUGUUGUUUGACAAAACAUGAUGUCCAUGGGAUAAUUCAGUCGCAGUUUAUUUCCUCCUGGUGGUGUUGAUUCGUGGCUGGAAGUUCGAUAUGCAUGACUACCUUCGAUCUCGUUUCUGAUCUUUGCUGGGUAGCGCUUGUAUCACGCAAUUAUAUGAGGCUAAAAAGAGAUGUAAUUCGUUGAUUGAUGUGGAUAGCGGGAGAUGGGAUUUGUGAUGCAUGGAUGUAUAAGAUAUGUCAGGACGAAAAGCCCAAUAUUGUCUAAUUUAUGGGGUCUCGUAGUCCUUGGUUAAUAUCUUUGUCAUCCGACCUUUGCCAUGACAGGUGCGCUUGCAUGGCAGGUCACCCUAUUCUUAAUAAAAUUAUUGAUUUCGAGUUUUGUGAGUGGAGAUCGCACGGGGAUUGCCCGGGUUCUCCUCUCGCUGGUGUGUGUUUUGUUCCGCUUUCUUAUUUUUGUUAACCGCCACAAUUCCAAUCCGUAACUGAUACAACAGAUCUCUAGAGGCGCAUCAACAUAUUGCAACUUGAAGGCAUUUGCUCUGGAGGUACUCUCUGACUGACUUCUCAAAUUCGAUUUUGUUCUAAAGGUCUAAAUUAUUUAAUUCAAAUCUAUAUUUGCAUCAUGCUUGCUAGCUAUUUGGCGGCAAUACUUUCCUUUGAUUAAGAUCCCUUUCAAAAGGGUACAACUAAAUAAUGUGUUGGAUGUUUGAAAUUGGCAGUUAUCGUAUUGUGGAGUUCUUCGAAACUGGAUAACCUUUCAAGGUAAAAGGAAAUUGCGUUCAAUGAUAUAUGGUUUAUCGUUUUUAACCCAGAAAAAAAAAAUCACUGCCCAUGUUGAUUCAUGAAUUCUCCUCCUGCAAAUCAACAAAUUUCAGCUGUCUCGUUAUUCUGCAAUUAAAUGACAUUUAUCUUUAGUUAUUGUUAUUUAAAUCUACAUCAAAGGCAAUACAUUUAAUUAUAUUUUUCCAUCCAAGCGUUUCCCUUCUUUGUCAAAUAUUAUUUAGUUGAUUUGUUGGAUCAUCAAAAUCGCCAGAUGCUGUGUAUUUCCAAAUUCUAUUACUGUAUAAUUUAAUUUGGAAUUUUUAAUAUGAUUCGUAGUGUAUAAUGUAUUUGUCCAAGUCAAUUUCCUCUUUUUUGUUCUUGGUGAUCUUUUGUAACAUGGAUGUCCUUCCUAGUUUGUUCUCUUGCUUGUUUAUGGAGGAUGCCAUUGCUGAGGAGGGCUCAAGCGCAACUGUAAAGGUGACAACAUCAAGUGGUUAGAUGUUUUUGUUUGCACUUCCUCACCAUGUUUACGAAUUCAUUUGAGCCUGUAGUUAAUUUUUAGACUAUGUUUAAUACCAGCGCGGUAGUUGGUACCCAUCAGUACAUGAAUUAUCAAAUUUAACUCAUGUUCAUAUUAUUUGGGGUGGUUUAUGUGUUGCUGCGUCUAUAAUUAGAAAUUUCAUUUUGAGGUUUUGGA